Molecule: ribosomal RNA, 450 nt
Filed under: uncultured bacterium
Lineage: Bacteria
Description: partial 16S ribosomal RNA
Rfam family: Bacterial small subunit ribosomal RNA
Source: RNAcentral
GUGGGGAAUAUUGGACAAUGGGCGAAAGCCUGAUCCAGCCAUGCCGCGUGUGUGAAGAAGGUCUUCGGAUUGUAAAGCACUUUAAGUUGGGAGGAAGGGCAGUAAGUUAAUACCUUGCUGUUUUGACGUUACCGACAGAAUAAGCACCGGCUAACUUCGUGCCAGCAGCCGCGGUAAUACGAAGGGUGCAAGCGUUAAUCGGAAUUACUGGGCGUAAAGCGCGCGUAGGUGGUUCAGCAAGUUGAAGGUGAAAUCCCCGGGCUCAACCUGGGAACUGCCUCCAAAACUGCAUGACUAGAGUACGGUAGAGGGUAGUGGAAUUUCCUGUGUAGCGGUGAAAUGCGUAGAUAUAGGAAGGAACACCAGUGGCGAAGGCGACUACCUGGACUGAUACUGACACUGAGGUGCGAAAGCGUGGGGAGCAAACAGGAUUAGAAACCCCAGUAGUCC